AGCAUUUCAAAUGUGCGGUCCACAACAUGAUGCAUGCUUUCUUAUCCAUAAUAGAUCUGGGAUCAUAGGUUUCCGAUGGCAAUAAAUUGUGCCAUAGCAUAUUUGUAUUCAAACCCCAGAUAUAGCCCAAAAUCAUGAAUUGCAAACAAGAAUUAAAAUAUAAAAUGAAAAUUACAAUAAGCUUUCAGAUUUUUCAGAAUCGAAUAAAGGAUCCAAAUCUUGAAACACAAGAAAAGGGAGACGGGAGAAACGGAAGAGACCUUCUAGAGAGAGAGAGAGAGAAAAGCGUUCAUGGCCUCACAACCAUGGGUUGCUGGCGUGAGAGAGAAGAAGAAAGAUAAUAAGGAAGAUAGAGAUGGGAGGCAACUGCUACCAUUUG
RNAcentral lists this long non-coding RNA (379 nucleotides) under Nicotiana benthamiana. Its description in RNAcentral is "long non-coding RNA (NBEN_LNC042661)". Lineage: Eukaryota; Viridiplantae; Streptophyta; Magnoliopsida; Solanales; Solanaceae. The record is from RNAcentral.